UGGGGAAUCUUGGACAAUGGGCGAAAGCCUGAUCCAGCCAUGCCGCGUGAGUGAAGAAGGCCUUAGGGUUGUAAAGCUCUUUUGGCAGGGACGAUAAUGACGGUACCUGCAGAAUAAGCCCCGGCAAACUUCGUGCCAGCAGCCGCGGUAAUACGAAGGGGGCUAGCGUUGUUCGGAAUUACUGGGCGUAAAGCGCACGUAGGCGGGUUGUUAAGUCAGGGGUGAAAUCCUGGAGCUCAACUCCAGAACUGCCUUUGAUACUGGCAACCUAGAGACUGGAAGAGGUUAGUGGAAUUCCCAGUGUAGAGGUGAAAUUCGUAGAUAUUGGGAAGAACACCAGUGGCGAAGGCGGCUAACUGGUCCAGCACUGACGCUGAGGUGCGAAAGCGUGGGGAGCAAACAG
Molecule: ribosomal RNA, 403 nt
Filed under: uncultured bacterium
Lineage: Bacteria
Description: bacterial SSU rRNA
Rfam family: Bacterial small subunit ribosomal RNA
Source: RNAcentral